GAUGAACGCUAGCGGCAGGCUUAAUACAUGCAAGUCGAACGGUAAGUUUGGUAGCAAUAUCAAACCAAGAGUGACGUACGGGUGCGUAACACGUAUGCAACCUACCUUGUACAGGAGUAUAGCUCGGGGAAACUCGAAUUAACCCUCCAUGAGAUCAUAGAAUGGCAUCAUUUAGUGAUUAAAACUCAGGUGGUACAAGAUGGGCAUGCGUCUGAUUAGAGUUGGCGGGGUAAUGGCCCACCAAGACGAUGAUCAGUAGGGGACCUGAGAGGGUGAUCCCCCACAC
Molecule: ribosomal RNA, 286 nt
Filed under: uncultured bacterium
Lineage: Bacteria
Description: partial 16S ribosomal RNA
Rfam family: Bacterial small subunit ribosomal RNA
Source: RNAcentral